RNAcentral lists this unclassified non-coding RNA (336 nucleotides) under soil metagenome. RNAcentral's name for it is "partial contains 5.8S ribosomal RNA, internal transcribed spacer 2, and large subunit ribosomal RNA". The stretch from base 1 to 120 matches the Rfam family "5.8S ribosomal RNA", at positions 35 to 154 of the family's 154-position model. The record is from RNAcentral.
GAUGAAGAACGUAGCGAAAUGCGAUAAGUAAUGUGAAUUGCAGAAUUCAGUGAAUCAUCGAAUCUUUGAACGCACAUUGCGCCCGCCAGUAUUCUGGCGGGCAUGCCUGUUCGAGCGUCAUUUCAACCAUCAAGCCCCCGGCUUGUGUUGGGGACCUGCGGCUGCCGCAGGCCCUGAAAAGCAGUGGCGGGCUCGCUGUCACACCGAGCGUAGUAGCAUACAUCUCGCUCUGGGCGUGCUGCGGGUUCCGGCCGUAAAACCACCUUCAUAACCCAAGGUUGACCUCGGAUCAGGUAGGAAGACCCGCUGAACUUAAGCAUAUCAAUAAGCGGAGGA